CUACGGGCCGCUGCAGUGGGGAAUAUUGGGCAAUGGGCGCAAGCCUGACCCAGCAACGCCGCGUGAGGGAAGAAGGUUUUCGGAUUGUAAACCUCUGUCCUUGGGGACGAAUAAAAUGACGGUACCCAAGGAGGAAGCUCCGACUAACUACGUGCGCAGCAGCCGCGGUAAUACGUAGGGAGCAAGCGUUGUCCGGAAUUACUGGGCGUAAAGGGUGCGUAGGCGGCAUAUUAAGUCAGGUGUGAAAUUUUCGGGCUCAACCCGAAACCUGCAUCUGAAACUGAUAAGCUUGAGUAUGAGAGAGGAAAGUGGAAUUCCUAGUGUAGCGGUGAAAUGCGUAGAUAUUAGGAGGAACACCAGUGGCGAAGGCGACUUUCUGGCUCAUCACUGACGCUGAGGCACGAAAGCGUGGGUAGCAAACAGGAUUAGAUACCCGAGUAGUC
This 443-nucleotide ribosomal RNA is filed under the name uncultured bacterium. Its description in RNAcentral is "partial 16S ribosomal RNA". It matches the Rfam family "Bacterial small subunit ribosomal RNA", at positions 339 to 795 of the family's 1533-position model. The record is from RNAcentral.